AACGGGAAGACCUUUACCAGUUCUUGCCUUCCGGGUGACCAUUAGGGAGAAAUAGUUUCCCUUUGGGGGGCAAGGGUGCCAGGUGGUGCAUGGUGUUGUUCAGUUGGUUUGGUGAGAUGUUGGGUUAAUUCCGGCAAGGAGGCCAACCUUUAUUUUUAGUUCCCUUCAUUCAGUUGGCCAUUUUAAGGAGACUGCGGGGGAUAACCGGGAGGAAGGGGGGGAGGAGGUCAAUUCUUCAUCCCCUUUAUGCCUUGGGUUCCCCACGUGUUCCAAUGGAGGGUCCAAAGGGUUGCCAACCCGGGAGGGGGAGUUAUUCGGAUAAACCCGUUUUCAGUUGGGAUGGUAGGUUGCAAUUGCCUUCCAGGAACCGGGAUUGGUUAGUAUUGGGGGUUCACCAUGCCGCGGUGAAUACGUUCCCGGGCCUUGUACACACCGCCCGUCACACCAUGGGAGUUUGUUGCACCAGAAGCAGGUAGCUUAACCGCAAGGGGGGCGCUUGCCACGGUGUGGCCGAUGACUGGGGUG
RNAcentral lists this ribosomal RNA (525 nucleotides) under uncultured bacterium. Its description in RNAcentral is "partial 16S rRNA". It matches the Rfam family "Bacterial small subunit ribosomal RNA", at positions 958 to 1482 of the family's 1533-position model. The record is from RNAcentral.